CUACGGGCUGCAGCAGUGAGGAAUAUUGCACAACGGGGGGAACCCUGAUGCAGCAACGCCGCGUGGAGGAUGACGCAUUUCGGUGUGUAAACUCCUUUUAUAUGUCAAGAAAAUGACGGUAGCAUAUGAAUAAGCACCGGCUAACUCCGUGCCAGCAGCCGCGGUAAUACGGAGGGUGCAAGCGUUACUCGGAAUCACUGGGCGUAAAGGACGCGUAGGCGGGUUGGAAAGUCAGGUGUGAAAUCCUACAGCUUAACUGUAGAACUGCACUUGAAACUUCUAAUCUAGAGUAUGGGAGGGGGAGAUGGAAUUAGUGGUGUAGGGGUAAAAUCCGUAGAUAUCACUAGGAAUACCUAAAGCGAAGGCGAUCUCCUGGAACAUUACUGACGCUAAGGCGUGAAAGCGUCGGGAGCAAACAGGAUUAGAUACCCUUGUAGUC
This 439-nucleotide ribosomal RNA is filed under the name uncultured bacterium. RNAcentral's name for it is "partial 16S ribosomal RNA". It matches the Rfam family "Bacterial small subunit ribosomal RNA", at positions 339 to 795 of the family's 1533-position model. The record is from RNAcentral.